CCUCCUCCACAUGGCUCCAGUUAAAUACCUAGCAGAGGCCAAGCCUCCAGUCUUAAAAAUAGACUUGCAGUGGUAUCUGCCUGACAGCAACCUCUUCACCCAGGAAAGCACAGUUGGGGAAGACCCUAAAGAAGCACCAGUGGAUUCAGGUCUUUCACUGCUGCCUUCUGCCACAGCCCACAUAAAACUACAGUCACAGCAAUCACAAAGGAGUGCAGUGGGUUUUGUGACCGUUUCUAUGGUUCUAUGAUAUGAUAUCACAAUGCACCACAUUACAAAGCUAAUGAUAAUUACAAAUGUUGAACUUCUGCCCAAGAUUUUGCUGGCCUGUGUAUCUUAUCAGAUAGGAAAUUCCUAAUCUUUCUAGAAGCAGUUCCACUGUACCUACUCAAGCUCUUCUAUGAUAGACUAUGAAAAUGAACCAUCAGUGGGAAAAUUCACCAAGGGGCACUGAGGACACCCAGCCUUUGCAUGCUGUAGGAGCUCAAUAAACACCUGAUGUGAUGAGCCCCAGCCCAAAGCCAGGUGUUUUGGGGCUACACAGUGCUCGGCGAACAGAUGCCUCAAUUACUGCUCUUUCUUCAUCAGUCACAGUGAUUCUCCACAAAUGAACAUGGACUUUAUUCUAUAUAGUGAUUUAAGUCUUUUUUCUCAGACAAGUAUCCCCUCCCUGCUUAAAUCAUCUGCUAGGAUCUACUUGCUUCUCACUAAAGAAUAAAAUUUUCUCAGAGAGCAAAUUGCCACCUUACGAUGCCAAUAUUUCUGGAAUUUAGUUUGCUAAGGAAAUGUUCUGCAGUUAGCCUGUGGCCUCAUCAGUGAUAAUGGGGUUACUUUUCAUUUUUGUUGUUGUUUUUUAAUCAAAAUGAAAGAACAAAAAGAGCUCAGCAUGCCUUCCAAAAACACCUGCAGUUGCUCACAAGUCAGGAUGAUCUUUGCUGCUAAACAGAACAGAUUCAGUGGGAAGGCUGUGAAAAAGGGGUGCAAUUGGACUUCCAGACAGUGACGACUCGGCCCAUUUGAGGUUCUCCUGCUCAGCAGCGGCUAUCCCUGCUCCCUGCUCCCCGGAUGCAAAAUCAAUAGAGUUUGGAGACCAGGGAUUACUCUACCAAAAUAAAUCACAAAGAAACUAAUCAGAACUCAACCAGAGACAGGGUCUUGCUCCCUCAUCCAGGAGUGCAGCAACUCGAUCUUGGCUCACUGCAACCUCCG
Molecule: long non-coding RNA, 1209 nt
Filed under: Homo sapiens (human)
Lineage: Eukaryota; Metazoa; Chordata; Mammalia; Primates; Hominidae
Description: HSALNT0360077
Source: RNAcentral